RNAcentral lists this ribosomal RNA (401 nucleotides) under uncultured bacterium. Its description in RNAcentral is "bacterial SSU rRNA". It matches the Rfam family "Bacterial small subunit ribosomal RNA", at positions 356 to 773 of the family's 1533-position model. The record is from RNAcentral.
GGGGGAUAUUGCACAAUGGGGGAAACCCUGAUGCAGCGACGUCGCGUGAGGGAAGACGGUUUUCGGAUUGUAAACCUCUGUCUUCGGGGAAGAAUAAAUGACGGUACCCGAGGAGGAAGCCACGGCUAACUACGUGCCAGCAGCCGCGGUAAUACGUAGGUGGCAAGCGUUGUCCGGAAUUACUGGGUGUAAAGGGAGCGUAGGCGGGAAGGCAAGUCAAGUGUCAAAUCUAUCGGCUCAACCGGUAGUCGCGCUUGAAACUGUUUUUCUUGAGUGGAGUAGAGGCAGGCGGAAUUCCUAGUGUAGCGGUGAAAUGCGUAGAUAUUAGGAGGAACACCAGUGGCGAAGGCGGCCUGCUGGGCUUUUACUGACGCUGAGGCUCGAAAGCGUGGGUAGCAAAC